CCUACGGGUGGCAGCAGUGAGGAAUAUUGGUCAAUGGACGAGAGUCUGAUCCAGCGAAGUAGCGUGAAGGAUGACUGCCCUCUGGGUUGUAAACUUCUUUUAUAUGGGAAUAAAACAGGGUAUGCAUACCCACUUGUAUGUUCCAUAUGAAUAAGGAUCGGCUAACUCCGUGCCAGCAGCCGCGGUAAUACGGAGGAUCCGAGCGUUAUCCGGAUUUAUUGGGUUGAAAGGGAUCGUAGGUGGAUUGUUAAGUCAGUUGUGAAAGUUUGCGGCUCAAGCGUCAAAUUGCAGUGGAAACUGGCAGGCUUGAGUACAGUAGAGGUGGGCGGAAUUCGUGGUGUAGCGGUGAAAUGUGUAGAUAUCACGAAGAACUCCGAUUGCGAAGGCAGCUCACUGGACUGCAACUGACACUGAUGCUCGAAAGUGUGGGUAGCAAACAGGAUUAGAUACCCUAGUAGUC
This 460-nucleotide ribosomal RNA is filed under the name uncultured bacterium. RNAcentral describes it as "partial 16S ribosomal RNA". It matches the Rfam family "Bacterial small subunit ribosomal RNA", at positions 338 to 795 of the family's 1533-position model. The record is from RNAcentral.